This is a long non-coding RNA of Colius striatus (speckled mousebird), 2605 nucleotides long. RefSeq lists it as uncharacterized. The record is from RefSeq and is a predicted model, not a curated record. The transcript has 3 exons. Lineage: Eukaryota; Metazoa; Chordata; Aves; Coliiformes; Coliidae.
UCCAAAGCUCCCCUCUCAAAAGUUUUCCUUUAAUAGUGUAGGCUUUGGAUCAAGCCCUGAGACUGACAGGGAGCAUCAGUACCAUUGUCAAGAUGAGUAGAAGAGGCACAAACUGGAACAAGUGACUUACCAGAUUUUUCUUCCUCUCUGUUCAGCCUCCACAGACUCUCUCCAGAUCUUAUCCUGUCGAACUUGGUCCUGCUGCAGUGCUGCCUGCUCGUCUGCCCAGGCCUGAGGAGCCGGUUGUGCAGUGACAGCUCUUCUGGGUUGGGUACUGCCGAGAGACACAGAUGGAGCUGAGGCUGGUGGCCCCAGAGGUGUGGUUGCUGGUUGCCAAGACCUAACCAAGCCAAACAGCAAAAAAAGUCAUGUAUCCACGCAGCAUUGUCAUGAACUGAAGAUGUGAACUGUUUGCCACCCUGACCUGACAGUUGUCUGUGUUGCUCUUGUGGAAUCUGUUUAUCCUGCUGCAUUCAUUCCAGGGUCUUCUCCAAGUUGGCGUGUGUGCAGCUGGUUUCAGAAUGGGGUUUCACAGCAUCUCACUGCUUUAAAAGGAAUGCACAAUCAGUGCACAGGGCAGGAAGGGAUCCUGAUGGAAAAUAUGUUCCUGUUCAUGGAAAGCAUUUAAAUUCUUCUUUACAGAGAUCUUGUGUUAUUUUAAUUCUAAUCCUUCCUUCAAGUCAACUUCUGCAAAUAAAACAUAGUAAUAAACUGAAAAAGGUUAUUGAGCUGACUGCAUAGCUUUCAAAUGACUGCUUGUGGCCACUGAAUAAACUGUAUGGAAAUACUACAAGCAAGUCUUUAAAUGUUUGUGCCACUGAAUGGUGUCUGCAAAGAUGCAGAAGUUGUAAUUACCCUGGUUGUGGUGCAGGGGUGAUGCUACAAAGUGCCUCUCAGGACAUCUUGCUGAAAGUGAGCUCACAGGUUAAAUCCAGAGUUUGAGACCCCACAGGCUCAGAAAAGAUGGAAGUCUUAACUGUUUAGGAUUUUUUUAGGCUUUAAACAAAAGAAAGCUAUAAGUCUCUAGGCAGGUAUGGGACACUUCGUAAUGUUCAAGCUCUUUGGAAGUAAUAGAUGGGAAUGGGAUCAUGGAUGUUUAAAUUAGUUGGAUUUUUAAAACAUUAUAUAGUAUGACUGUAAAAUGUACUUGCUGUUCCCAAACCAGACAACCAGGAGCUGAUAUUUUGAAUGUUAUCCCAUUUUCCACUGGGACUAGAAGUCAUUAAGGGAGAUUGGAUAUGCACAUUGCUCUGGAUUCCUCACUGGACAUACUAGUAGCCCAUUUAGGCCAUUUACUAGAUCAACAGCUCAGCAAAAGUGCUGCAGAUACUGAAUUGUUCCCUCUCAGAUUACCAUCUGCCAGUUUAGCAUUUUGUUUGUUCAUUAUAACACCUCGGGGCAUUUAGGCAGGGAGUUCAUUGGAAUUGGUACAAUUGAUUUACUGUGUACUUCUCACCUUGUAAUAGAAUAGGUUGAAUAGGUUGAUGUUUAUUCUGGCUUCAUGCCAUAUGAAUCUAUCUAAAUUGAUUAUAGCAUCUUUGUUUUUUCUGCUUCUGGAUAUGGAACUUGAAAAAAGUUAUUGAGUGUCUCUGUAGGAGAUGAUGCCUUUGCUUAGGAGUUGGUUUUGGGAUUAGUUUAUCUGACAAGCAGCAUUGGCACCCGUCAUUCUAAGGAAGAACUUGACUGAAGUUAAUCUUUUGUGGUUACCAGAAAAGUGAUACGAUAUGCCCUACAAAUUCAUCUGUGAAAAAUAUGUGAGUUGUUUCCCCUUUUCAAAGGAGAAGAUAUUUAGAGAGGCUUUUUAUGGAGGAAAAACCUCAGGUGUCUAGACAAAACAUUUUAUAUGGCCACAAGAGGGUAUUGCAGUAUCAGUAAUGCAAGACUUGAACGAAUUUUUGACUUUACCUAUGCUGCCUUGUUUUUAAAAUACACAUUUAUUGAAACUGAUCAUUUACAUUAAGCAGUAGCUAAGAAAAUUCGGUUUUAUGUGCCUGUAUUUGAUGUCCUUGUCUAGAGGCAAUUUCUGAGCUGUUUUUUCAAAAAGGUAUUUUGUUUUUUAUAGCAACAGGUUUCUUGCAGCUCAAGAAGUUCUCAUAGAUUUCACUGGAAGACAUGCACUUCAGAAGCUUAUUCCAAAACACUGCAAAACUUAAUGAAAAUGGCUUGAUUGAAUAUAAGAAUGCAUCAGUCACAGAAGGGAAGUAAUAACGGGAGAUGAUUGUGUUGCUGCUUUGGUUGGAUGGGCAUAUUGGUCCAGGGUGGGCACUGUCUCAGGCAUCCCAUAUGGUCCUUCUUGCAGGAAUAAGAUAAUUAAUUAGUGUUUCUCAGAUUUCCCCUUUACAUCCAUGUCUUCUACAAUGUACAUCCAAUGUUGGCUUGCACUUUUUUUUUAAGUUAGUGCUGUGUUGGGAUACUUUCCUACAAAAGUUAUUUCUUCUAAACUUUAAGAACUUUGUUGCCAAAUAUUCGUGCCAUGUCUUGUACGUUUUAGACCAUGAAAGAGGAAGCUGGAAGGAUUUCUGUAUUCUCCCACUCCUAGAUCUGCUGUUGAAUUUAGGAGAAGAUGCAUGAGUAGUGCUGAGAGAGCCUGGCAAGUUGAGCGUCU